Molecule: ribosomal RNA, 409 nt
Filed under: uncultured bacterium
Lineage: Bacteria
Description: bacterial SSU rRNA
Rfam family: Bacterial small subunit ribosomal RNA
Source: RNAcentral
UGGGGAAUAUUGCACAAUGGGCGCAAGCCUGAUGCAGCGACGCCGCGUGAGGGAUGACGGCCUUCGGGUUGUAAACCUCUUUCAGUACAGACGAAGCGCAAGUGACGGUAUGUACAGAAGAAGCACCGGCCAACUACGUGCCAGCAGCCGCGGUAAUACGUAGGGUGCGAGCGUUGUCCGGAAUUACUGGGCGUAAAGAGCUCGUAGGUGGUUUGUCGCGUUGUUCGUGAAAACCUGAGGCUUAACCUCGGGCGUGCGGGCGAUACGGGCAGACUGGAGUACUGCAGGGGAGACUGGAAUUCCUGGUGUAGCGGUGGAAUGCGCAGAUAUCAGGAGGAACACCGGUGGCGAAGGCGGGUCUCUGGGCAGUAACUGACGCUGAGGAGCGAAAGCGUGGGGAGCGAACAGG